Molecule: unclassified non-coding RNA, 89 nt
Filed under: Pseudomonas frederiksbergensis
Lineage: Bacteria; Pseudomonadati; Pseudomonadota; Gammaproteobacteria; Pseudomonadales; Pseudomonadaceae
Source: RNAcentral
UGUGGGAGCGAGCCUGCUCGCGAUAGCGGUGUGUCAGUUAACAAUUUUUCGACUGACACUCCCUCAUCGCGAGCAGGCUCGCUCCCACA